AUUUAGGAGAAUACUAAAUUGGUUCCGUUGAGAGAGGAGAUUCCUGCAUCAGGCAGUGGCAACGGUAAUGAAAACCAGGGGCAGAUGGAAAAGACACCAGGGCGGUAGAAUCCAUGGUAUUUGGCAGGAGAUGAGCUGGAGUCGGGGUGGUGAUGGGGAGAUGGAGACAGCAGAGGCCAUGCCAAGAAUCUCUGAUCUUGAGAGAAGAUGAAUCUUGUGGACAUCAGGGAGAAGAUAAACCAUUGGCUUCUCAACUUCCAGCACUUUUCAUCCUAUGGGCAGCCAUGAGAUCUUGUGCAGUAGAGAUGGGAGCAGAUGGUAUCUUAACACUUGGACAGACAAAGGAUGCUGACCACAGAUCUCACUCAUGGGCCUGCGUGAAUCCUGUAUCACCACCAUCGUUAAAGUUUCUCUCCGUUGAAGCCCUCUGUGGAACAAGACACAUCUCAAAGCUUCUCUCUGCUUCUUCUGCAUCUCAGAGGAUGGAUCCCUGCCAGUGGAAGGCUGAAGCCAGCCCUUCUGCCUUUCUUGUGAGCUAACCUUGGCUUCCCAGACAAGCCACUGCUAGGAUGUUUUAUCUGAGGCAAGUGCAGUCCUGAACAAAGGCAAACUCAAUCCUGGGAUUUAAGGAAGGAACCUGAGAAGUCUCCUUAAUAGGAACCUCUACCCUAUUUCCACCAUGUCUGAACAUAAUCUCAUCAUAACAGCCUCCUGGUUGACUAUCUACGAAUCUCCCUACUCUUUAAAAAUUGUGGUGAAAUUCAUGUAACACAAAAUUAGCUGUUUUAUUAAAGUGAAUAAUUCAAAAAAAAAAUAAAAAAAAAAAAAAAAAUAAAGUGAAUAAUUCGGUGGCAUUAGAUAUACCCACAACACUGUAUAGCCACCCGUCUCCAGCUCCAAAAUAUUCUCAUCACCCCAAGAGGAAGUCUGUACCCACUAAGCAGUCCUUCCUUCUUUCCAGCCCCUGGCAACCACAAAUCCACUUUCUGUGUCUAUGGGUUCACAUGUUCUGGUUAUUUCAUAUAUAAAAUCAUACAACAUGUGGUCUUUUGUGCCUGGCUUCUUUCACUUAGCAUAGUUUGAAGGUUUAUCCACAUUGUAGUGUGUGUCAGUACUUCAUAUAUUUUUUUUAAGUGACUGAACUCAAAUUUCAUCUGUGGAUGGUUGGAUAACACCUGCGUGCACACUAAGUCACUUUAGUCGUGUCCAGCUCUUUGUGACUCUAUGAACUGUAGCCCGCCAGGCUGCUCUGUCCAUGGAAUUCUCCAGGCAAGAAUACUGCAGUCGGUUGUCAUGCCCUCCUCCAGGGGAUCUUCUAGACCCAGGGAUCGAAACUGUGUCUGUUACAUCUCCUGCAUUAUCAGGUAGGUUCUUUACCACUAGCUCCACAUGGGAAGCCCGGAUAACUCAUGGUGGUGUGUAUAUGCCAACUC
Molecule: long non-coding RNA, 1433 nt
Filed under: Cervus hanglu yarkandensis (Yarkand deer)
Lineage: Eukaryota; Metazoa; Chordata; Mammalia; Artiodactyla; Cervidae
Description: lncRNA (ENSCHYG00000023165.1)
Source: RNAcentral